Molecule: small nucleolar RNA, 98 nt
Organism: Monodon monoceros (narwhal)
Lineage: Eukaryota; Metazoa; Chordata; Mammalia; Artiodactyla; Monodontidae
Gene: SNORA70
Rfam family: Small nucleolar RNA SNORA70
About the family: snoRNA U70 seems to be exclusive to mammals and is a member of the H/ACA class of snoRNA which contain H (ANANNA) and ACA box motifs. H/ACA box snoRNAs are involved in the conversion of uridines to pseudouridines (5-ribosyluracil) a constituent of structural RNAs (transfer, ribosomal, small nuclear, and small nucleolar).
Source: Ensembl
AGGAACCGUGCAUGUCAAGAACCACGGCUACAGGCUCCUCGGUAGUGUAUGUAGCCUGUUGCCUGUACUGGUUGCCUUAAGGGACCUUGGAGACAGCC